AAUAAGUGUAGUUUUGCAUUAUUCAUGUUUAACGUUUGACCAUUCGUCUUAUUUAGAAUUUUUUAUUAUUAGUAUUUUUGUUGUUAUUAGAUGAUAAAACAUGAAUAGUACUUUUCUGUAUGACUAAUUUUUUUAAUAAAAUUUUCAAAUAAGACGAAUGGUCAAACGUUGGACACGAAUAUCCACGGGUACACUUAUU
Molecule: non-coding RNA, 199 nt
Organism: Oryza glumipatula
Lineage: Eukaryota; Viridiplantae; Streptophyta; Magnoliopsida; Poales; Poaceae
Source: Rfam